Molecule: transfer-messenger RNA, 397 nt
Filed under: Campylobacterales bacterium
Lineage: Bacteria; Pseudomonadati; Campylobacterota; Epsilonproteobacteria; Campylobacterales
Also listed under: 1 other name
Rfam family: transfer-messenger RNA
About the family: Bacterial tmRNA, also known as 10Sa RNA or SsrA, is named for its dual tRNA and mRNA-like properties.
Source: RNAcentral
GGGGAUGACUAGGUUUCGACUGGAAUAGUCGGGGCUAUGUGCAUGUCGGACUGGGCAACUCCGUUAUACGGCUCAAAAUGCAUAACUGCAAACAAUACAGAUUACCGUCCAGCUUACGCCGUAGCGUAAGUAAACCCCGAGCGAUCGGAGGACUGCCUUACCGAGGAGUUCCAUCUUACUCGGAAUCCAUUAAUUUGGGAGUGUUUUUGCACUUUGGGCAUCACAUCUGAUGGAUAUGCUCUAUGGAAGCUAUGCCAUAGAGUGAGAAUUUUAGCUGGUCUUGUAUAGCUUUGGGUGUUGUGCGAAGCAAGAUAAGAUGAAACAUCACCGACUAAACAUGUAGAGUCAUAGUUCUAGCUAUUUUAGGACAGGGGUUCAAUUCCCCUCGUCUCCACCA